RNAcentral lists this non-coding RNA (29 nucleotides) under Rattus norvegicus (Norway rat). The record is from RNAcentral. Lineage: Eukaryota; Metazoa; Chordata; Mammalia; Rodentia; Muridae.
UUCUAUUUAGGGGAUAGAGAUGGUAACCC